Molecule: ribosomal RNA, 253 nt
Filed under: uncultured bacterium
Lineage: Bacteria
Description: partial 16S ribosomal RNA
Rfam family: Bacterial small subunit ribosomal RNA
Source: RNAcentral
UACGAAGGGGGCUAGCGUUGCUCGGAAUCACUGGGCGUAAAGGGUGCGUAGGCGGCGCGGUAAGUCGGGUGUGAAAUCUCGGGGCUUAACUCCGAAACUGCAUUCGAUACUGCCGUGCUUGAGGACUGGAGAGGAGACUGGAAUUUACGGUGUAGCGGUGAAAUGCGUAGAUAUCGGGAGGAACACCAGCGGCGAAGGCGGCGCUCUGGGCCGGUACUGACACUGAGGAGCGAAAGCGUGGGGAGCAAACAGG